Mya arenaria is the source of this 2241-nucleotide long non-coding RNA. RefSeq lists it as uncharacterized. NCBI's taxonomy places the organism in Eukaryota, Metazoa, Mollusca, Bivalvia, Myida, Myidae. The record is from RefSeq and is a predicted model, not a curated record. The transcript is spliced from 7 exons.
UUAUCGGGUAUUUCCGUGCAGUAAUGCAGUAUGGCGUACAUCUCUAACGGAAAGAGAAUGGACGUCUUUCUUGUGUGGAUGGAUUCAGAGAUGACCCCAGAGAUGCGGCAAUGACUGUGGCACAUGUACGUUAUAGAUAGUGACUGUAAAGAAAUGUUGAAAGCAGAAAAAGGAAACUAUCUUGAUAUGGUUUUCUGGUGUUAAAUUAGCUGACAAAGUGUUCAUAAUUUGUCGGAAAAUAGUGUCAAAGCUGAAAUCUGUUCUGCAAAUUCAAGAUAAAGUGAUGAACUGGAGUGAUUUUACAUAAAUAUAACAAGAAGGACAAUUUUGUUGUGGACCGUGACCUAGAAGUGAAAACCAGAUUUUUAAAAAAUAACUUGGCUGAUAUGCAAGUUGAACAGUAAUGAAAUUUCACACAAAUGUUCCUGAGGCUAUAGGCACCUCGUUUCAAAAAGGUUUUUACCAAGUUGCUGCUUGGGACAAUAAAGUUAAGUCAGCUACCGUCUACCGGACUGCAAGCUUCAUCACUUCCAAAGGAUGUCAUACCUUUCCAGAAACACUGUGUUGUGUGUGGAUAAGAAAUGCCGAGUGGUACCACCAGUCACCUAAGCCACCUAACAGACCAAAGGCUCAUGGAGACAGUCCCUGCAGUUAACAGCAAAGCUCUCAAUUGCAGCCCUACAAACUUCAGGUACUGCCGAGGGCGUAGCUUGGGUGCACGGGGCUGGUUUUCCAGCUGUGUUGAAUCAACAUCUCCAGCUGAACUGGGGCCGGGAAUUAUAUAAGACUCCUCAGCAGCACGAGUGCCAGCCAGUCGUUGCCAUUCCUUACAUUGCUGAGGAGGACAGUCCUGCCAACAUAACAGUUCGUUCAAUAACAGGUAAAGAACGGAUCGAUGAUUUCCUGGAUAUGGACAAGACCCACUCCCUGCAGGGAUUAAACAGAAUAAAGCAGUUUUGAAAAACAAGAACAAAACUUUUUAAUGAAAACAAAACACUUUCAUUAGAAAGCACAGAAGAAAAAAGCAGCAAUGACGAUACACUGAAGUGAUUGGAGUUUCACCACGAUAUGAUACCAAAAAGAAAGUCAUCAAGUCGGUCGGUUUGGCAGGUGGUCUGUGCAAAAGUGCAAAAAAAUUGUGACGCAAACCAAAAUACUUAGACUAAAGUUUUCAAGAUACUGUCUUUGAACUUUAAAUAUAAGUUCGCAUGAACUGAAGAUGUAUUUGACAUAUUUAUGAUAUGGAUCAGUCCAAUAUUUGUUAGACGUGGGAAAGAUUCGUAAAUAUUUCAAGAUGCAAACAAGUAAUCAUUUUCAAGACAAUAAUUAAUUAUAAAUAUUUAAAAGAUACAUACUGUGGAAGAACUUUUUAUAAAUUAUUAUUCACAUUAGAUAAGAAAAAUCUGGAGUCAGUUUGAUCUGUACCUAGAGCAAGCUAUAAUAUGCAAAUAAAGUAACUUUAUUAUUCAUAUAAAUUUAGUCUGAUGCCUUGAUUAACAAGUGUGAAAUAAAUAGCACAACAGCUACAUAUUUGUUUGACUGACCACUGUGCACACACUGUGAUAUAUAGCCAUGGAUAUUAAAGUGAACAUUAAAGCUGCACUCUCACAAAUUGGCAGUUUUGACCUUUUUUUAUUUUUUUGUCUCAGAAUCUAUAUAAUCAUAUAAUGAUAACACAACUUUGGUCUUUCCAGGAUUAGUGUGUCACUUUGUAGGUAAAUACACAUGCAAGUAUAAAACUGACAGGAAAUUUUGGAUAUUUGCACAGUAACCACAACAUUAUGUCAUACAUGUUGUAUUCAUCAAAAGCUAAUGUAGCUUUAAAAUCUGUGUGUAAUUUUCCACCAUUCUGUUAACUACAUGCUGCAUUGUUGCUACAGUUAUAGUGAAUUUUCCAUACAAAUUGAGAUCGAGUUUCAAAGAGACAAUACAUAAAUCAGUCAACAAUUCAUUAAAUGGAGAUUUUUUUUGCAUUGAUGAGAUAUGGUUGCACCCAGAUCUAGAAUAUUGGAGCCUUAGGCCAUAAUAAUACAAACACCUUGUCAUAAACACAAACAUCAUUCAAUAUAAUAAUUAUUUUAAGAUAUUUGGUAACAUGAGUGCUUAAUUAUUACAUUGUGUCAAAGUUUUUUGGCUGUUCAGUAAAUAUUUCUAAAUAAAUUCCGGUGUUUAUUAUUUUCUAAAACCAAAAUAGGUUUUCUACUGGCAUGGACAGGCAUAGGAUAGCAUAGUAUGAACAGA